Triticum aestivum (bread wheat) is the source of this 829-nucleotide long non-coding RNA. RefSeq lists it as uncharacterized. NCBI's taxonomy places the organism in Eukaryota, Viridiplantae, Streptophyta, Magnoliopsida, Poales, Poaceae. The transcript is spliced from 3 exons. The record is from RefSeq and is a predicted model, not a curated record.
UUAACAAGCAGUGAUUCCUUACAGAGACAACCCCUUGCUGCCGCUCUCCUUCUCAUCCACGACCCCUUGCUGAUGCUGCCCUCCUUCUCAUUGGUGGCCUCAUCUUCCUCCUCCCCAUCGGCGGUUGCGACCAAGCCAGCACCAAAGGCCCCCCAACAGCAAAGCGGUUUGUUGUGUCCCGCCUCGUCCUGGCCUUCGUCCGUUUUGUGCUCAACAUGGUCUUCCUACGUCGGCUGAGUCCACGGACCUGCAGGUUGACCAUACUAUUGUGGGAAUUUUUGGCAUAAUGGUUCUUGAUACUAUGUUGGAUCAUCUUGGAAUUCCUAGAGCUAUUUACCGGAGAAGGAUGUACUCACAGAACACAUUGACUGUCAAUGUGCUUUUCUACUGGAGAAAGAUGCACGCAUUUGAGUAUUUCUGUUAGCCAUGUUGGUAAACAAAUGUUUAUUGUAUCCUUACAAUGUUUAUUUCCACCAGCAAAACACUACUGAUCGGCGAUUGGAACUAUGCUUCCAGCGGUAUCACUUGCCAUGAUGAGCUACACUAUUGAUUCAUUUUGUGUACUUAUCAAGGAUGCUAUCGGAUUUUGUCCCUUGCCUUUUGUAUGCCUUGCUUUCUGUACUGUACUGUCCAACUGCCCUGUAAUGUCCUACUUGGUUUUGGGGCAUUUCUUUGUAAACGACUUGUGCUAAUUAUUACCAAUGGUCUUUAGAUUUGUGAGAUGUGUUGCUUUUUAUAUGAACAACUUGCUGUAAUCCUGAUCCAUGCAACUGUGUCGAUUUUUUGUCUAUUUCUUUAUGCCAAACUUAUAUAUCUCAAUCAUACCGGG